RNAcentral lists this ribosomal RNA (497 nucleotides) under uncultured bacterium. RNAcentral describes it as "partial 16S ribosomal RNA". It matches the Rfam family "Bacterial small subunit ribosomal RNA", at positions 28 to 507 of the family's 1533-position model. The record is from RNAcentral.
GACGAACGCUGGCGGCGUGCCUAAUACAUGCAGGUUGAGCGCUGAAGGUUGGUACUUGUACCAACUGGAUGAGCAGCGCACGGGUGAGUAACGCGUGGGGAAUCUGCCUUUGAGCGGGGGACAACAUUUGGAAACGAAUGCUAAUACCGCAUAAAAACUUUAAACACAAGUUUUAAGUUUGAAAGAUGCAAUUGCAUCACUCAAAGAUGAUCCCGCGUUGUAUUAGCUAGUUGGUGAGGUAAAGGCUCACCAAGGCGAUGAUACAUAGCCGACCUGAGAGGGUGAUCGGCCACAUUGGGACUGAGACACGGCCCAAACUCCUACGGGAGGCAGCAGUAGGGAAUCUUCGGCGAUGGACGAAAGUCUGACCGAGCAACGCCGCGUGAGUGAAGAAGGUUUUCGGAUCGUAAAACUCUGUUGGUAGAGAAGAACGUUGGUGAGAGUGGAAAGCUCAUCAAGUGACGGUAACUACCCAGAAAGGGACGGCUAACUACGUG